This 645-nucleotide ribosomal RNA is filed under the name Vibrio alginolyticus. RNAcentral describes it as "bacterial SSU rRNA". It matches the Rfam family "Bacterial small subunit ribosomal RNA", at positions 100 to 742 of the family's 1533-position model. Lineage: Bacteria; Pseudomonadati; Pseudomonadota; Gammaproteobacteria; Vibrionales; Vibrionaceae. The record is from RNAcentral.
GACGGGUGAGUAAUGCCUAGGAAAUUGCCCUGAUGUGGGGGAUAACCAUUGGAAACGAUGGCUAAUACCGCAUGAUGCCUACGGGCCAAAGAGGGGGACCUUCGGGCCUCUCGCGUCAGGAUAUGCCUAGGUGGGAUUAGCUAGUUGGUGAGGUAAGGGCUCACCAAGGCGACGAUCCCUAGCUGGUCUGAGAGGAUGAUCAGCCACACUGGAACUGAGACACGGUCCAGACUCCUACGGGAGGCAGCAGUGGGGAAUAUUGCACAAUGGGCGCAAGCCUGAUGCAGCCAUGCCGCGUGUGUGAAGAAGGCCUUCGGGUUGUAAAGCACUUUCAGUCGUGAGGAAGGUGGUGUAGUUAAUAGCUGCAUUAUUUGACGUUAGCGACAGAAGAAGCACCGGCUAACUCCGUGCCAGCAGCCGCGGUAAUACGGAGGGUGCGAGCGUUAAUCGGAAUUACUGGGCGUAAAGCGCAUGCAGGUGGUUUGUUAAGUCAGAUGUGAAAGCCCGGGGCUCAACCUCGGAAUUGCAUUUGAAACUGGCAGACUAGAGUACUGUAGAGGGGGGUAGAAUUUCAGGUGUAGCGGUGAAAUGCGUAGAGAUCUGAAGGAAUACCGGUGGCGAAGGCGGCCCCCUGGACAGAUACUG